AACGCACAUUGCGCCCCUCGGUAUUCCGUGGGGCAUGCCUGUUCGAGCGUCAUUUACACCCUCAAGCUCUGCUUGGUGUUGGGCGUCUGUCCCGCUUUAUGCGUGGACUCGCCCCAAAGUCAUUGGCAGCGGUCGUGCCAGCUUCUCGCGCAGCACAUUUGCGUUUCUUGAAGUUUGGAGGAUCAGCAUCCAGUAAGCUCUUUUAUGACUUGACCUCGGAUCAGGUAGGGAUACCCGCUGAACUUAA
Molecule: unclassified non-coding RNA, 247 nt
Filed under: uncultured Stagonospora
Lineage: Eukaryota; Fungi; Ascomycota; Dothideomycetes; Pleosporales; Pleosporaceae
Description: sequence contains ITS2
Source: RNAcentral